This 327-nucleotide unclassified non-coding RNA is filed under the name soil metagenome. RNAcentral describes it as "partial contains 5.8S ribosomal RNA, internal transcribed spacer 2, and large subunit ribosomal RNA". The stretch from base 1 to 120 matches the Rfam family "5.8S ribosomal RNA", at positions 35 to 154 of the family's 154-position model. The record is from RNAcentral.
GAUGAAGAACGCAGCGAAAUGUGAUAAGUAAUGUGAAUUGCAGAAUUCAGUGAAUCAUCGAAUCUUUGAACGCACAUUGCGCCCCUUGGUAUUCCGGGGGGCAUGCCUGUUCGAGCGUCAUUAUAACCCCUCAAGCUCAGCUUGGUGUUGGGGCCUGCCGACUGGCAGCCCUUAAAAUCAGUGGCGGCGCCAUCUGGCUCUAAGCGUAGUAAUUUCUCUCGCUAUAGAGUCCCGGUGGAUGCUUGCCAGCAACCCCCAACUUUCUAUGGUUGACCUCGGAUCAGGCAGGGAUACCCGCUGAACUUAAGCAUAUCAAUAAGCGGAGGA